Paramuricea clavata is the source of this 537-nucleotide non-coding RNA. The record is from the annotation of a GenBank genome assembly. NCBI's taxonomy places the organism in Eukaryota, Metazoa, Cnidaria, Anthozoa, Malacalcyonacea, Plexauridae.
CUUUAUUUCAAUUCAAUACAACACUCUUACAAUCAAGCUUACAAUCUCUGCACAAUCUGAAACCCGAUUCCUCAUCUACACAAACAACGUGCUUAUUUUAAAAUUACUAAUAUGAAGUAAUAACGUCAUAAUUUUCAUAAUGGUUCAAUGUUUGUUCUUGUCAAAGAUUCAUUGUUUUUAUUAACUGGUUUUACAAAAACGCAACUAAAUAUAGAUUAAAUAUGACACUAUUAGAAUAUUCAUGAAAAUAAAUUCCAAACAAUCAAAUUCUUCCUUAAUGUUUCCAAAACUUAUAAAAGUCAAUGUAAUUAAACUUAGGGGGUCGCAUGCAAACAUGUCACUGCAUAAACGGUAUCCCAAAAAGAGCUUCCAAAGCAUCGAUGAACUGCUUCAACUGUUCCCAAUCUUCAGAUCGGAAUGUGUAUAGCUUGCCUUUGGUGUUCAACAUACAUGUAAGAAAAUCAAUGUAAGACUUGCUGGCAUGGUGCUUGCGGACUGCAUCAACGUGUCUGCCAGGAAGAAUGUUGCUCAAUUCUU